UAGAGCUAAUACCGGAUAAUAUAUUGAACCGCAUGGUUCAAUAGUGAAAGACGGUUUUGCUGUCACUUAUAGAUGGAUCCGCGCCGCAUCAGCUAGUUGGUAAGGUAACGGCUUACCAAGGCAACGAUGCGUAGCCGACCUGAGAGGGUGAUCGGCCACACUGGAACUGAGACACGGUCCAG
This 182-nucleotide ribosomal RNA is filed under the name uncultured Staphylococcus sp. RNAcentral's name for it is "partial 16S ribosomal RNA". It matches the Rfam family "Bacterial small subunit ribosomal RNA", at positions 158 to 334 of the family's 1533-position model. Lineage: Bacteria; Bacillati; Bacillota; Bacilli; Caryophanales; Staphylococcaceae. The record is from RNAcentral.